RNAcentral lists this long non-coding RNA (713 nucleotides) under Brassica napus (rape). Its description in RNAcentral is "long non-coding RNA (BNAP_LNC022989)". Lineage: Eukaryota; Viridiplantae; Streptophyta; Magnoliopsida; Brassicales; Brassicaceae. The record is from RNAcentral.
GUCUAGGAUUUGGAUUUAGGGUAUAGGUUUUAGGUUUGGGUUUAAGAUUUACCGUUUGGACUUAUGGUUAAAGUUUUGGGUUUAGGGUAUAUACUUUGGGUUUAAGGUUUACGGUUUGGGUUUAGGGUCUAGGACUUGAGUUUAGGGUAUAGAGUUUAGGUUUAUAGUCUAGUUUUUGGGUUUAUGGUAUAUAAUUUGGGUUUAGGAUCUAUGAUUAGGGUUUAGGGUUUAGGGUAUAGGGUUUGGGUUUAAGGGUUUGGAUUUGGGUUUAGAAUUUAGGGUAUGGGGUUUUGAAUUUAAGAUUUAGGGUUCAGGGUUUACGUGGAAGCAUUAGCGUCGUUAAAAUUAAAUUUUUUAUUUUUUGUAGCUAUUUUUUAUUUAAUUUAAUGUUUUUUAAUUCAUAAUCUAUGUGGAAAUUUGAUUGGUGCUAAAGAGUGGAGUGAAUUUAAAGGUUCACCCUCGUGAACCUAAGUUCUGUCCAUAAAAGAAACUCUUGAGAUCAAAAAUGAAGGUGGAAUGAGUUCAUAUAUACAGAUCCAAAAGAUAUUAGCUGAUAUAAAUGCAAGUUGUUCUAAAGGAAAGAUUACAAAACAAAGUGAAUUGAAGGACAUGCUGAUGGUUAUCAAAAGGGGAAAUAAGUGCUAAUCAAAACUAUUUUACUAGCUCUACUGGCUUACACUAUGUUUAUCUUCUUACUUUCUUUGGAGAUAUGU